AUGGUUGGAUGGCAUCAUCAAUUCAAUGGACAUGAGUGUGAGGAAACUCCAAGAGAUAGUGAAGGACAGGAAGCCUGGUGUGCUGAGGCCCAGGGGUGUCUCCAAGAGUGGGACAUGACUGAGACUGAGCAACAGGCAAGGGCGGGGACACAGUCCUCAGAUCCACUCAGAUCAACUCAGAAAGGGUGGGGACACGGUCCUCAGAUCAAGGGCGGGGAAACAGUCCUCAGACCCACUCAGACCAACUCAGAAAGGGCGGGGACACAGUCCUCAGAUCAAGGGUGGGGACACGGUCCGCAGAUCCCCUUGACCAACUCAGAAAGGGUGGGGACACAGUCCUCAGAUCCACUCAGACCAACUCAGAAAGGGCGGGGACACAGUCCUCAGAUCCCCUCAGACCAACUCAGAAAGGGUGGGGACACAGUCCUCAGAUCCCCUCGACCAACUCAGAAAGGGUGGGGACACGGUCCUCAGACCCACUCAGACCAACUCAGAAAGGGCGGGGACACAGUCCUCAGAUCCCCUCGACCAACUCAGAAAGGGCGGGGACACAGUCCUCAGAUCCCCUCGACCAACUCAGAAAGGGUGGGGACACGGUCCUCAGAUCCCCUCAGACCAACUCAGAAAGGGUGGGGACACAGUCCUCAGACCCACUCAGACCAACUCAGAAAGGGUGGGGACACAGUCCUCAGAUCCACUCAGACCAACUCAGAAAGGGUGGGGACACAGUCCUCAGAUCCCCUCAGACCAACUCAGAAAGGGUGGGGACACAGUCCUCAGACCCACUCAGACCAACUCAGAAAGGGUGGGGACACGGUCCUCAGACCCACUCAGACCAACUCAGAAAGGGUGGGGACACAGUCCUCAGAUCCCCUCGACCAACUCAGAAAGGGCGGGGACACAGUCCUCAGAUCCCCUCAGACCAACUCAGAAAGGGUGGGGACACAGUCCUCAGAUCCCCUCGACCAACUCAGAAAGGGUGGGGACACAGUCCUCAGAUCCCCUCGACCAACUCAGAAAGGGUGGGGACACGGUCCUCAGACCCACUCAGACCAACUCAGAAAGGGCGGGGACACAGUCCUCAGAUCCCCUCGACCAACUCAGAAAGGGCGGGGACACAGUCCUCAGAUCCCCUCGACCAACUCAGAAAGGGUGGGGACACAGUCCUCAGACCCACUCAGACCAACUCAGAAAGGGUGGGGACACAGUCCUCAGAUCCCCUCGACCAACUCAGAAAGGGCGGGGACACAGUCCUCAGAUCCCCUCAGACCAACUCAGAAAGGGUGGGGACACGGUCCUCAGAUCCCCUCGACCAACUCAGAAAGGGCGGGGACACAGUCCUCAGAUCCCCUCAGACCAACUCAGAAAGGGUGGGGACACAGUCCGCAGAUCCCCUCGACCAACUCAGAAAGGGUGGGGACACAGUCCUCAGAUCCCCUCGACCAACUCAGAAAGGGUGGGGACACAGUCCGCAGAUCCCCUCGACCAACUCAGAUAAGCCUUCCACUUACUUGGUCUUUGAGUUAG
RNAcentral lists this long non-coding RNA (1527 nucleotides) under Bos indicus x Bos taurus (hybrid cattle). Its description in RNAcentral is "lncRNA (ENSBIXG00000012379.1)". Lineage: Eukaryota; Metazoa; Chordata; Mammalia; Artiodactyla; Bovidae. The record is from RNAcentral.